Mercenaria mercenaria is the source of this 3244-nucleotide long non-coding RNA. RefSeq lists it as uncharacterized. The record is from RefSeq and is a predicted model, not a curated record. The transcript has 13 exons. NCBI's taxonomy places the organism in Eukaryota, Metazoa, Mollusca, Bivalvia, Venerida, Veneridae.
UUAGGCUAGUAAUCAAAGGUAUAUAUGGACAUGCUUGUGCAGGGUGCUCAUUUUGGGCAACAUGAAGUAUAAUAACAUUUACACUGUUUAUCGAGUGAGCAUGCGGGAGACUUAAAUUAUCUUACCACCUAUUCUCACAAUGGGCAAACAACAUGAACAAUUAAUCAUUUAUUUUAGACCAAAGUGUUUCAUAGUGUUCAAAACAAUAUGUAAACCAGUCUUAAAAUUAUCAACGAUAACAUACUGAUCUUCUUUAUUUUCGGUAGUGCACAGUUACUUCCCUUUAACCAAAUACGCCAUUUGCACCGAGCCCACGAAUGAACAUUUGUUGGGUAUAGACUGAGGAGCCUGAAAUUCUAUCUAUAAUGCUCCAAAAUUAUAGGAGGGGUCAUUUUUAUAUUUAGCCAUUUUGGAGCAUUAUAGAUAGAAUUUCAGGCUCCUGUGGUAUAGAGAACAAUAGGUAACGGUAAAUUCUAUUCAUUCCGAAGUGGUUUAAUGGGUUCUUUUUGUAGCAUAUUGGGUACUUUUUAACAAAAGAAAUACCCAAUAAAGGUCCAUCUGUAGGAACGUCCGGUCGUCCUAGAAGAAAAGAACAUUGGGCUCUGUGCAGAUGUUUUUGUACCAGUAUGCAGGUAUUUGCACGUUUCGGGCGUGAUAACUUAUUUACAGGUCGCUGUACUUCAUCAUGUCACAUGCCAGAGGGUAAAAAUAGAGUAAAUUAGAGAAUCAUAUCAUGAUAGUCUGUUUGACGUACCAGGAUAUAAAUUAGAACAAAAUGACAGAGACAUUCAUGGUGGAGGGUUAGCCGUGUUCAUACCAGCAGAUAUUGCAUCUAGAAGACGGAAGAAUCUAGAAAACAUUGUAAUUGAGGUACCACAUGUUAAAACAACUAGAUUUGUUUGAUAUAGUGGAUGGAUCAUCAGGGGAGGUAGCUAGAGUUGCAGAUUGGGACUAGGGCGUAACUUGCCAACAACAAAAAAAAGAGAAAAUUUUAGGUAUCUGGAAAUUAAUGCUUUGUAUCUUAAGUCAUUAGAAAGCUUUGAAACUUGAUUACUCACAGACUAAUUAUGUUGUGGAAACACAUGAGAAUUAGUUGUUUUUACUAAUUUUUACACUGAAAAUUGAAUAGUGCUUGUAACUCUUCACUCAGUGUAUAAUUAUUGUCUUAAUUAUAAAUAUCAAUAUUUAACGGCCGUUAAAUGCAUAUUCCUCCAUGGUGUAUACCGGUAAAGACUUAGUGAAAGUUAUUAUUGCCAUGGCAGCCCGGGUUCGAUUCCUGACUCUGGCAUUUUUCUUUCUUGAUUUGGCAUUUAUUAAAAAUCUCAUGUCAUUGCCUUCAUAAUGUGACCAAACUUUACUUUUAAAGAAAGGUCAUUUUCAGCGAAAAUCUGGCGGUCAAUGCUUUUAGCUGUCAUAAGUAUGAAUUCACCCAUGGUGAUACUUAACAAGAAGGUAGGAAAGUAAUUGCUGAGGCAGUCCAGGUUCGAUUCCUUACUCAGACAUAUUUUCUCUUGAUUUUGCAUUUUUAAGAUAGUUUAGAAACAAAAACUCAUGUCAUUGUGUUCAUAAUGUGACCAAACUUCAGUUUUAAAGAUUUCACUUUUACUUUUAGUCAUUUUCUUUUAAAAAGAUAAAGCAAAUUUUACAAUUGAAGGGAGAUAACUCAAUUUUUAAAAAAGACACUAAAAGCUCUGCUUCAUUCUAUUGUGUUAUAUGUGUAUCUUAUAUGGUAUUUUAUAUUAUGUAUCUUUCUAAACAUUUUGAAAAAUGUCUCUUUUUGUAGUGUGAUGUAAAAGUAAAGCAGAAUGACAAGAGACCAGUAACUUCAGAAUUGAAGAGAUGCAGGUCUUUGUUCUACAUGGUGAAAGAGGGAAUUAUAGUGGAUUUUUGGAUUUAUCAGUGAAUCCUGUGAAGUGAUAGUGAAGCAGAAUAUUUACAGAUCAUAAGAGAUGCUGGUCUUUGUUCAACAUGGUGAAUAUGGAAAACAUAGUGGAUGGCCAUCCUAGAAAACAUUUAAUGAGGAAAUAUAUGAGGCAGAGCUAUCAGCAGUAUGCCACAGACACAGCAAGUACACAUUGUUUUGCACAAAUUUUUGUUCCACAUGUAUGGCCAUGAAGGGAUUUUCACAGAAAAAAAUAGCCAUACAAACACCUUCCACGGGAUUUGAACCAUCAACCUGAUAGAAAGUUUUACCUGUUGUGUAAACAGGAUGAGCUGGCUUGGUGAAAGAUUGUCAUGCAGGAAAAGAAGGAAAAUGACCUCAGGAAAGGCAAGAUACAGCAGGUACAAGAUCCUAAGGACAGGAAUGUCUGUCAUUCAUGGUAAAAUCAGAGUUGGGCAGCUUAUUGAAACAGGUUACUGUUGCCCAACUAGACAAAUUUCAAGUACACCAAAUUGUUAUGAAUGUUGCUGUGGUUACAAAGUUCUGGCAGCAGCAAGCACAUACACGACAUUUCCGUCAGGCACAUACAAGGACAAGACCGUUUAAAGCUCGACACAUAUAGGAUAGUUAGCUGGAAAUCCUGCAAGGGUCCACCUCUGCCAUGGUCGUUUCAAAGCUGCCUUAUGGCCUUUACUGUUGGACAAAUUACAUUCCUCUGACUGAGUGGAGGAGAAGAGAUCAUAAAAUGACACCACUUGAGAUGCAGGUGAUCAUAGAUUGACCAUAAAAACGGGAGUGCACAGUCAGACAAAACAGCACCAGUUGCUUAGGUCCAAGUUUCCCAGAAAUGGAUAAUUCUAAGGCCCAUUUAAACCAGAGAUUACAUUUAUUGGUGAUAAUUGAUGAAGCCAGUUGCAGAGUUUUUACAUGAGAUAGUUAGGGAAAGUGAGUUUACAUUUUGCUGGAACCUCGUUACAGGUCCAUGUAUAUACUCUGGUCACAGAUUUGCAGUAUCAGACAGUAUCCUAGGAAACCCAUUCUAAAUAUAGGACCAACACAAUCAGACAGACAAGUUGGCAUGAUAUUUACUUAAAAGAGUGGUGACAUUCUGCCCAAGAUUCAAGUCUGGAGAUACCAUUGGCGAAUCUUAUAAUCUUUUUUUAGAUUUAAGUUUAAAAAUGACACUGACUUAAGACUAGAUAUAUACUGGUUUCAGUCAAAGGCUUUUCUCUAUUUUUGUUUUUGUCAACAUAUUAAGAUCUGGAAACUGUCUAUAUUGGAGACAAGUUUGUAUGACAAAAUAAAAGAAAGAAAAAGGUUUUUAUAUUAGAAAGAUUUUUUAAAUAAAUUCUUAUGAAGUGA